This 217-nucleotide unclassified non-coding RNA is filed under the name plant metagenome. RNAcentral describes it as "partial contains small subunit ribosomal RNA, internal transcribed spacer 1, and 5.8S ribosomal RNA". The record is from RNAcentral.
UCUCCGUAGGUGAACCUGCGGAGGGAUCAUUACAAGUGACCCCGGUCUUACCACCGGGAUGUUCAUAACCCUUUGUUGUCCGACUCUGUUGCCUCCGGGGCGACCCUGCCCUCGGGCGGGGGCUCCGGGUGGACACUUCAAACUCUUGCGUAACUUUGCAGUCUGAGUAAACUUAAUUAAUAAAUUAAAACUUUUAACAACGGAUCUCUUGGUUCUG